UUGGCCGAAGAUGGCGACGCCCAUAUUGGGGCAGUAAAGAACAGCUAAGCAUCUACCACUAAAAAUAUAAAGAUAGUACAAGCUCAUAAGAGCCAAUAAAAUUUCGGGUCCGCCAUGUUUAUAUAUAUCUCCCUCCUACAGUCACUCCCUCCAUUGUUUUCGUCCCUAGCUAUGAGCUGAUCUCUCUCUCUCUCUCUCUCUCUCCCUGAUCUCUCUCUGAGGACUUGAACUUAGAGACAGAUCUCGGACUUAUAUGCUUCCUUCUCCUCCGUUUUUCGCUCAGUUUUAUUGCUUAUAUUUAUUUGUUUCCCUUCCCCCAUCCCCAUAUGUAUGUGUUUCUUUAAUUGAACUCCAUCGGGCUCGGCUUCUCACUUUUGUUUUUUUGUUUUUUUUCCCUUCAUUUUAUGAAUUUUUUUUCCUCUUUUGGUCUCCUCUUUGUAAUCUGGCAUGCAAAGUUAUAAUACCACUUCUUUCCUGAGCCGGAAUCUUACUCGGUUCGCUUUUAAACUGUUGUUCUCGCCGGAAUCUAAUCGGAAAAAUCUGAUCAACAUAUGAUUUGAAAGUUUUUAUUUAUUGGAUAUUGCUGGUUCCAGUCUUAUGUUUGUCUGGCAUCAUAAAUACAAGUAAACAUAAAUUAUUUUUUUCUUUGGGUUCAAAACAUAAUGAAUAGGGUUUUGUUUUAUUCCAAGAGGUCCUUAUUCGAUAAUUGAAAGUAUUGUUUCUAUGGUAGAGUUAGAAACUGUAGAUUCUUCUCGGGGUACCCCUCAAGUAGUUCUUUAUGUUCCAGCCACUGGUAAUCCGACACCUCAUCUUAUGCCCGUGGCCUUGGGCUAAGUUGUACGGGAAAUGUCAUAUUUUGUCCUUUUCUUUUCCUUUUUUUGCUUUCUUUCUUGCUUUGUUUCUGCUUUUCAUGACGAGGUCUUCCUAUGGAAAUAUUUUGGAUGUACUUCUGCUUCUUUUCUUGAUAUAAAAGUCCACAUUUUCGGUUAAUUAGGAUUUGUGCAUGAUGAUAGAUUGACAGUCAGUUGUUUGCGGGUGUUGCAUCUUCAAGAUUCACAUGGGAAAGCACGGUUGAUGAUGCAAAAUCUCUCUGCCAAAGCUCUUUGAAAUUGAGAAUCUUGAUGAUGCUGCAUCGGCAAGAAACGACUAUACAAAAGUGGAUUUUCUCCCGCCAAUCAGAUCGAGCUGCCAUUCAACAGAUCUGUGAAUAUUCUUCUGCACAAAAUUUGUUAAGGUGGGAAAUAGCAUCUUUUCAGGUGCUUCUUGCUGGAGAUGUAGAUGGGGUUUUAUUAUUUUAUUACUGGAAAUUAAGAGAAAGAGAAUGUUGAUGAUGCUAGCUGCAUGAGCUUUAAAAUAUAUAUUCUGGAAAGAUCGAAAGGCAAAGAAACAUGAGUUUAAAGGUGAAAUGUUGAACUAAUUGCUUGAGUUCGAUCUACGAAUGGCUUGGCAAAUGUGAACAGAAACUGAGAUGAAAGUGAAAUACUUUGGUCCACCGAUUUUCAGAGUACUAUUAGUGAGGAGAAUCGAAGAAAUCAUACUGAGUGUAGUACGUCUUGAUGAUCUCCAGACAUCCCAGCUGCUCAUAAGAAAGUGCCGCAUGCAAAUAUUAUGUUCAGACUGCAUAAGACCGGCCAUUUGCCAAUUUGUGUGUUUUUUGGAAGUGAUACUUUACUGCAGAUUCAGGCCAGUUUAGUACUUUAUAAUUCACUGCAUCCACUACUAUAGUUAGUCGUUAAAUAUCAUAAUGUACGUAUUAACAAAUACAAACAGCAUUCAUUAGGCCAGCGCGCAUAAGUUUGCAUGCAUCAAGUGCAUGUUUUGAUGGAAAAUUUUAAAAAAUGUUAAAGAACCCACUUAUAUUGUUUA
Long non-coding RNA from Carya illinoinensis, 1866 nucleotides. RefSeq lists it as uncharacterized. The transcript has 5 exons. Lineage: Eukaryota; Viridiplantae; Streptophyta; Magnoliopsida; Fagales; Juglandaceae. The record is from RefSeq and is a predicted model, not a curated record.